UACGUAGGGUGCAAGCGUUAAUCGGAAUUCCUGGGCGUAAAGCGUGCGCAGGCGGUUAUGUAAGACAGGUGUGAAAUCCCCGGGCUUAACCUGGGAACUGCAUUUGUGACUGCAUAGCUAGAGUACGGUAGAGGGGGAUGGAAUUCCGCGUGUAGCAGUGAAAUGCGUAGAUAUGCGGAGGAACACCGAUGGCGAAGGCAAUCCCCUGGACCUGUACUGACGCUCAUGCACGAAAGCGUGGGGAGCAAACAGG
RNAcentral lists this ribosomal RNA (253 nucleotides) under uncultured bacterium. RNAcentral's name for it is "partial 16S ribosomal RNA". It matches the Rfam family "Bacterial small subunit ribosomal RNA", at positions 524 to 776 of the family's 1533-position model. The record is from RNAcentral.